CUUAUCUGUACACAAGAUUGGAUUCGGGGUUCACAUACUCCAAUUAAGGUUGAAGAAGACAUAGAUGACCUUGAAAAUCUAGAAAAAGAGUUGUCAAAGGUUGCAUUGGAGUCCACAAUUGGUGAAUAAGACAAACAAAGAAAGACAAAGGACUUACAGGUGAAAUAAGCAGAGAAAUUGUGCUUUGUAUUUUGCAAUGUAAGAAGCUGAAAAGUGGGAGUUUCUAAUACAAGAAGCCAUGAAAUUGUAGCUGUCACUUGUCAGCUGAUGUAUGAAGCAUUGAAGUCCUAGUUUUUUAUUUUAAUUUUUUAGAAACAAUUUAUAUUUUAUGUUUGUUUUUUAUUUUUAUUUUGCACAAACUAUUUACAUUGGUCUGUAAUAUAAUAUUACGAACUUUGUACUCUUGAACUCAAAUCC
Long non-coding RNA from Malania oleifera, 417 nucleotides. RefSeq lists it as uncharacterized. The transcript has 3 exons. NCBI's taxonomy places the organism in Eukaryota, Viridiplantae, Streptophyta, Magnoliopsida, Santalales, Ximeniaceae. The record is from RefSeq and is a predicted model, not a curated record.